AAUACCCUCUGGUUCCAUCCACGUCGCUGCAAAUGGCAAGAUUUCAUUUUUUGAUGGCUGCAUAAUAUUCAGUUGUGUGUGUAUAUAUAUACACACACACACACCACAUCUUCUUUAUCCAUUCAUCCGUUGAUGGACAUCUGGGCUCUUUCCAUCGUUUGGCAGUUGUGGACUAUUUCAUAUAUUUUUAAGAAGCAGCGCUGAGAACACAGUCUCCUUUUUAAAACCAGGAGGUAAUCAUUAAUCAUUGUUCCCAUUUUUGUGAUUUACUUGUAGCUUUUUAUUGUUAACCAAAGAAGGAUCACACUCUCUGUAUAAUUGUGCAUGCACCUUUUUCCCCUCUGUAGAAUAGCGCCCUAGAAGCGGAAUUAACUGCAUCAAAGGGCAUGCACAUCUCCAAAUUUGUUAGAUGACUACUGAUAACAUUUCAAAAGGCUGUGCCAAAAGUGCCCCCCAUCCUGGCCAACACAGCUUGAAUCCUAUCACAUGAAAGAUCUGCAAGUAUCCAUUUGUUCACCAAGCAGAACACACAGAUAUUUUACUUUACAACUUGUGCCGAAGAUGGUGGUACACCUGGUUCAUUCGGUGUCACGAAGGUUGCAUGUUUAAGGGGGAAAUGUGUCCAGUAUCCAGGAGCAAUUUUCUGAUGAACUCCCCAGUUCUCUGCAAUGUGGACUGAAGCUUGCGUCCUUCCAAUUUUAUUUGAAGAUCCUAAAAUUUAGAUUGUCUUUUCCAAACCCUAAUGUUCAGACGGCAUUUUUCAAACCUAAAAUUGGGGGUCCAUUCCUGUGGCCUGUAUCUUGAUCUUCACAGUCAUCAGAGGCCUUAGCUUCUUUUCCCAAACCACUGGGUGGCUUAGCGUCAUGUAAACGGGGGAGUAAGUCUCCCUUGUGGGGUCUUUGAGGAUGAUUCCAACAUAGCCACAGAAAUUACAGAGGCAUAUGAAAUGAGAGGAUCCAUUAUACUCACAGGGCCUAGAGGAGGGAGGCCACCUGGGAGGAGCACCCAGGGAGCAGACUGAACCAAGCAGGUGGGGAGCCGAGAGUAUGCACCCAUGGGCAAGUGCCUUUUUGGCGAUCAGGGUGGGCUAGUCAAGCAAAGGCGGGAGAUUUUAUUGGUGUGUUUGAGUGUCACUCAGUCACAGUCGAGGGCGGGGGUGGGGGUGGGGCGAAGAAGAGGAACUGUAGCAGGGACCAGCCUUAUUGAGCUGGUGGGUAUCUAUCUCGCUGCUAGGGCGGAUGCUCACAGCCUGUGUGUGGGGAUGUUGAGGCAUCAGAAAAAUGGGAAGUUUCAAAACCUGGCAAUACACUUAGCUAAGCCACAUCCUUUCCAAAGUACUUCAUCAAAUCUCUCCUUCUGCUCUACCCAAAAGAGAGGGUGCACUCCUUUAAAACAAAUGAGCAGGGGUGCCUGGGUGGCUCAGUCGGUUAAGCAUCUGCCUUCAGCUCAGGUCAUGAUCCCACGGUCCUGGGAUCAAGCUCUGCAUCGGGCUCUCUGCUCAGAGGGGAGCCUGCUUCUCCCUCUCCCUCUGCUGCUCCCCCCUGCUUGUGCUCUCUGUCAAAUAAAUAAAUAAAAUCUUUAAAAAAUAAAAAUAAAUAAAUAAAUAAAACAAA
Mirounga angustirostris (Northern elephant seal) is the source of this 1613-nucleotide long non-coding RNA. RefSeq lists it as uncharacterized. The record is from RefSeq and is a predicted model, not a curated record. The transcript is spliced from 2 exons. Lineage: Eukaryota; Metazoa; Chordata; Mammalia; Carnivora; Phocidae.